GUGAAAACUUCCCGAUGGUUCCCACUCUGGAGACCUCCUACCUUGCGCGGGCUGCAAAAGAACGAGUUCCUGAACUUGGUGCCUGAUAUUGAAGAAAUGCGACCAGGGUCCACAGCGGGGACAGGUCUCUCCAUCACCAGGAUCAGCUCUCUGCCAAAGUCAAACCACUCCAACAGAGACACUGGGGCUGAUGUUUCCACUGAUCCAUCUGCUUCAGCUGCAAGCUUCAGCAUGAUGGCAACUUCCACUGACACAUUCUUCCCGUUAUCAUCCUGAAAUAUUUCAACAAAGUGGAUGAUGAGGCACAGACGUUCCACAGAAAAAGAAAGUGCCCAGCCCAGCAGGAUGAAGAUGGGCCAUACGUCAAGAAGCCGCCAAAUGCCUUCAUGCUCUAUCUCAAAGAGCAGAGGCCAAAGGUCAUUGCUGAACUCAACAUCCCUGGAAGUGCAGCCGUAAAUGCAGUGGUGGGACAGAGAUGGAAGUCGCUUUCAAACGACCAGAAAGCCAGAUAUUUCAAGCAGGACUCAUUGGACUCCCCUGUUGCAGCCCUUCAGUUCCAGACAGAGGAAGCCUUUGUCGCAGACAGUGAGGAAGAACUGCUGUCAGUGCUGGAAGAGCUCGACCCCCUCCCCAUCACUGCGCAGUCUCAGCAGCCCUCACCCACCCCUGCCUCUCCUGUAGAUGCCUCUCAAACUGCAUCAGUUCAACCCCGAGUUGAAUUAUUUCAAGACCGAGAUGAGCCCAUCUGUUUUGCUGAAAUCCAAGAAGACAUGUGGUCAGUGCUUGACUACCUCCCCGUCUCUCAGCAGUCUAAUGUGCUCUCCUCUCCUCAUUCACACAACUACUCGACUCCUAAACAAAAUCUCAUCUGUCCUGCUGAUUCCCCUCCAUCCAAACUGGCGUCCUCCCCUGUUGCAUUCACUGAAUUGCCGUCAACAACCCCCAUCUUUUGCCAACUAAUGAAAAACAAUAAUUUCAUUAUAGACGAUUGGACUGAUUUCAAUUGAAUUAAACUGUUACUCCUGUUAUUUCAACAUCUGUCUUUGUGUAAA
Molecule: long non-coding RNA, 1052 nt
Organism: Astatotilapia calliptera (eastern happy)
Lineage: Eukaryota; Metazoa; Chordata; Actinopteri; Cichliformes; Cichlidae
Source: Ensembl